This is a non-coding RNA of Syphacia muris, 72 nucleotides long. Lineage: Eukaryota; Metazoa; Nematoda; Chromadorea; Rhabditida; Oxyuridae. The record is from Rfam.
GGGGGUUUAGCUCAGGGGUAGAGCGCUCGCUUCGCAUGCGAGAAGUCGGGGGUUCGAAUCCCCCAUCCUCCA